CGCGUUUUAACUUCCGCUCGUACGCUGUUGACGCACCUGAGCACGUGGCCGACUGACCCCGGCUCGGAGGGAGCAGCAGGGCUCUCUAAUGAAUGACAGCAGUUCUGUUCUGGUCGGCAGUGUGUCAUUCUGGUGGAGGACUGGCAACUUCAGCUGGCUGGCGUCGACUUAAGGCGCUGAGUGGCGGGGACAUGAUGGACAUGGCACAAACAGUUCAGGACCCGAUGUAUUCAAGGACGAUCACAUGUGAUCAAAAUGCUGGUGUGCAUCCGAGUGAGCCUUUCAUUAAUAUCAAAGUCGAGCUGAUAAACAACAAUGCAAAGAAAAGAAAGGCUGAUGAAAGUUUCCUGACACCGGCCAAAAAGGAUUUUAGUCCAGAGGCUUUGUCCCCUGACAUGGGAUGUUACAUGGACUAUUGCAGCCCCCCUGACAGAGAAAAAUCUGCCUCUCCUAGUUCCAUCGCUAAGCCUGCACUGCAGAGAGAAGCUACUGAGACGGAACCAACUGUGCAUCUCCACACACAGCCUGAUUUUGAUGGUGACGUUGACAGCAUCUUGUGCCUCAAUCCCUGUAUCACUGGUUCCUCUGGGAAAUCGUCUGACAAUCCAGAGGAAUGCAAAAGUCCAAAGAGCAACGUGGUUCAAAAGGCACUCUUAGUCACAGAAGAACACAAACAAGAGCUGGAUAGAGGAGAUGACAAGGGAUAUUUAUCUCUGUCAAUAUUGCCUCAACUGGAGGAGUCCCAUUCUGAAAGUUCAUCUCUGCCAAGUUGUCAUAAACAAGCUGCGCUGUCUGGAUCAGACAACUCCUUCGCAAUCAAUGACUUGGAUCCUGUUGUAAGUGGGCCAGUGUUGCCAUCAGUGCACUCAAAUGUAGAGCAUUUAAAGGAUGACGUUGAAGUGUGGAAUAUUGGUCUCCCUAUCUUCGAGUCUUCUCUGUGUCACAAUGUCACUGUGAAAUGUAAUGCUGCCGGUGAGCGGACUACUGAGGUGUCAGAGGAGGUGUCAGAGGAGGUGCAAGGAGGCGAGGUGGAACCUUUACCUGUGUGUCUGGCCACAUUUGGUGAAGAGGAGACCUCUUUGGACACCAGUUAUGAAACAACUUUACCUCUUAAUGUACAGGUGAAGUCAGUUGUCGUGCCUGUCAGUCAGGAGCCUUCUGGCAGUAAAACUGCAGCUCCUCUUCUGCCAGCCAAGCAAAGCCCAAAGGCGGGUAGAGUUUGCCGGACCAACCAAUGUGUCAACAGUGCCAGGAGACAAAGGCCAGUGAACUUGGACCGAGACUUUGAUUUGGAGCGUUAUAAACGGAUGUAUCUCCAUUCAGUCACCAGACACGUGAAUGAGAAUUCUGGAGCAGAUCAAGCAGAAAAGCGGCCAACUUUGCAUCCCUGAGUACAAGUCCCGCAGCUCCCUCCACCUCUGAUAUGAUGCCCCGAAAGUUAUCCAAGAUUUCUUUCUGGCAAGAUGUCAUGACGGAGCUGCUAAACCUGAUGACCCAUGUUGCUGACCAGACACAAAACCCUAAUGGCACCCAGUGGCAGCAUCCCUCUGACCUUACAAGCAGGAACUACCAGCGACGAUUUGGAAACAUGAUGCCAACAAUGACCCUCCAUGAAUGGCAGGCCAAGAACAACAAAAUGCACAAGCGCUUUGCAAAGGUUCCAGCGAUUUUCCAACGGAGUCCUUUUCCAUAAACUAGGAGUUGUAAUUCUUCUGUUACUGUUAACCAAUUGCACUUCACCUCAUAGAGGGCUCCAUCAGUGUUUGUACUGUUUUUUUUUUCUUGUUGGUCUGUAGUUUUUUUUUUUUUGUCAGUUUGGGUUUUCCAUGUAAUUCUUUAAACUAUGCAUGUUCUUGUGUGUGAAUAUUUGCAUGUUUUAAGGGGUUUUGGUGUUGUGUGAAUUAUGCAGAGGAGCAAGCACUGUUGGGUUUCAAGCACCCUGCCUUUUACUCUAUCUGAACCUGUCUGUUUUUAUUGUGUAUUUAAGUACAUUUUGAACAUUUCAAAGAAGUUAAGCACUCAUGUUAUGGGUAGUUGUAUUGGGGGGGGGAAUCUGCAAUAAAAAUUUAGCAGACAUGUUGAAGUGUUAAGGUCAAAUCCAUGGUUAAGUUAAUAGUUCAUUGUAAAGCAGUCUAAUGUUAUGUAAUUCAUGUUGUGGUAUAAUAUACACGUUUUGUAUUGGCAGAAGGUGAUAAACGUUGAUUCACCCACGUCAUGUAAGAAUUUAUAAGUCAGUUACUGUAAUUAUACAUUUUGGGGGGAAAAAAAUGGGAAAACUGUUCACAACAAGGUCUGUAAAUAGUCUUCAAAAAACCUGUUAGUAGGGCCACAGACAACUCAUGUCAUCUUCCUUUGUUUGGUUUCAGCAGAUGGCUUUGGUCAACAUUUCAAAACCUGACCACUAAAACUACAAAACACUACUAUUAGGUGGUUGGAUUGCAAAAAUGUUUGUAGCGCAGCAGUGACCACAACGUCCUCUGUGCACCAGUCUUAUGCAAUGUAAGAAAAGUCCCAGAUAAGUUGACUGGUUAUCUCUUUCUAAUUAUCUACUUUGAGUCUGAGCAGCAAUGUUUGUGUUACUGCUGUAUUAAUGUUCAAUAAAUAAUGCUGUUUUUUUCAGCUUUGCAGUAUCUGA
This is an RNA transcript of Acanthopagrus latus (yellowfin seabream), 2635 nucleotides long. RefSeq lists it as uncharacterized. The record is from RefSeq and is a predicted model, not a curated record. NCBI's taxonomy places the organism in Eukaryota, Metazoa, Chordata, Actinopteri, Spariformes, Sparidae. The transcript has 8 exons.